CCUACGGGUGGCUGCAGUGGGGAAUCUUGCACAAUGGGGGAAACACUGAUGCAGCAACGCCGCGUGAGUGACGAAGUGUUUCGGUAUGUAAAGCUCUAUCAGCAGGGAAGAAGCAAGACGGUACCUGACUAAGAAGCCCCGGCUAACUACGUUCCAGCAGCCGCUGUAAUACGUCGGGGGCAAGCGUUAUCCGGAUUUAAUGGGUGUAAAGGGAGCGUAGACGGCUGGGCAAGUCUGAAGUGAAAGCCCGUGGCUCAACCGCGGAACUGCUUUGGAAACCGUAUAGUUUGAGGACUGGAGAGGCAGGCGGAAUUCCUAGUGUAGCGGUGAAAUGCGUAGAUAUUAGGAGGAACACCAGUGGCGAAGGCGGCCUGCUGGACAGAAACUGACGUUGAGGCUCGAAAGCGUGGGGAGCAAACAGGAUUAGAUACCCCUGUAGUC
This 441-nucleotide ribosomal RNA is filed under the name uncultured bacterium. Its description in RNAcentral is "partial 16S ribosomal RNA". It matches the Rfam family "Bacterial small subunit ribosomal RNA", at positions 338 to 795 of the family's 1533-position model. The record is from RNAcentral.